UUUUUCCUUUCAAAUCACUUAGCUCAUUUUUCUAAUCCAAUGCAGGGUCCAAAAGGAGAGAAGGGUGACCCAGGACCUCAGGUGAGAUUGUGUGGAUCACAUGUUAAACAUAUGUUAAAAGUAGUAGUGAAUGUCUUUUCCAUCUUUAAUGUUUUUUGAAACAGGGUGUACCAGGACAGGACGGGAACAGUAUCGUGGGCCCACCUGGACCACCAGGACCACCAGGACCAAUCAUAGCUAUACCUGAGCUACUACUCAAUGAUACAGAUGGAAUUUUAAACUUUACUGGAAUUAAAGGACUUCUUGGGCCUCCAGGGCCAGAUGGCAAGCCAGGUCUACCAGGAUUUCCUGUAAGUAUUUUGUUCCUUGGACUUAAGAAGGUAUUUUUCAAUA
RNAcentral lists this long non-coding RNA (393 nucleotides) under Melopsittacus undulatus (budgerigar). RNAcentral's name for it is "lncRNA (ENSMUNG00000017406.1)". The record is from RNAcentral. Lineage: Eukaryota; Metazoa; Chordata; Aves; Psittaciformes; Psittaculidae.